AGAGCUGUAGCUCAGUGGCAGAGCACUUGCCUAGCAUGUAUGAGGCCCUGGGUUUGAUCCUCAGCACCACAU
Molecule: transfer RNA, 72 nt
Filed under: Urocitellus parryii (Arctic ground squirrel)
Lineage: Eukaryota; Metazoa; Chordata; Mammalia; Rodentia; Sciuridae
Also listed under: 1 other name
Description: Spermophilus parryii (Arctic ground squirrel) tRNA
Rfam family: tRNA
About the family: Transfer RNA (tRNA) molecules are approximately 80 nucleotides in length. Their secondary structure includes four short double-helical elements and three loops (D, anti-codon, and T loops).
Source: Rfam by way of RNAcentral